RNAcentral lists this long non-coding RNA (1434 nucleotides) under Homo sapiens (human). RNAcentral describes it as "PRKCQ antisense RNA 1". The record is from RNAcentral. Lineage: Eukaryota; Metazoa; Chordata; Mammalia; Primates; Hominidae.
ACUUGUCGCCCAGCUGCGAACUGGAGCGGGAGGCGGCGGCCGGAGGGCCCAGGACAGCCCCGGGAGGGCGGCGAGGCGGAGCAGGAGCGCCCCGGCUCCGGCCACAUUCUCAGAGUCAGGAAAAGGGGCGAGAGGCCACAUGUCUCCCUCUCGCCCAACUGAAAACGAAACGGCGCUCCAGCAGAUUGGGUGGAAAGAGCUGGGUCUCUUUUCUCUGUUUUUCACGCUAGAAAGGGCUUGUAAACAUUGUUCCUUUUAAAAUGACCUACCCCAGGCAUUUGUUUGGGCACACUUCUGUCCUGGGGUCAUCGUUCCUAGGUGGCUUCGGACCUGGGACUUUUCCUGUAUCUGCACAUUGUCGUUUUAUACACAAUUGCCAAGGUGGGACUGCUUUCAACUUUACUGUGCUUGAAGCUGCAAAGGUUCUGCCCUGAUGUUUCCUGGAAUAAUGCUGAGGACUGCCUUUCGGGUAGCCGCCCUAUUCAGUUCACUUCAUCUCGGAAAUACCUGACCCCUGCCUUGGAUCCAGCGGCCCUCCUGAGAGCUGAGGAAGGAGGAAAUCCUAUGUGUCUGCUCCCGGAGCUGCCACAACCCAUCUUCCCACAACUCGGAACUUGGAAAAAGGAACCCAGGACACGACUUUGCUUUUCUUUUGGACCUAAUACAAGUUAACAGGAUAUGCUUCUGGCCUGUUUCUGGAUUCUAAGGGUAGAACCAGCAUAAAACUAGUCAGUCCAAGUAUUUCUAAAGAUCCACAGACACAGUUCUCCUGGAUUUGGGAAGCCUAGAGAUAUUAGCACAAUAAUUAAGGCCCAAGGUAAAAGCAACAGCAGCCUGAAAAUGCAAAAGACCAUACAUUUUAAUGCAACUUUUAAAAGCCUUUCCACUGCACAGUGAAAGAAAACCACAAACUCCUUGUUUAAUAAGUGGGAUCACGUGCUUUUAACACGAGGAAAAGGUCAAUCUGAAGCAACUGAUAUGGAACUGCCAGAGUAGGAGUUGAAAAUCUUCCUAAACUGCUGGAGGAUACACCUCUGAUAGCUUGAGACAAAUAUCCUCUUGAUCAUUGUUUCACCAUAUUUGUCUUUGCUCAUGGAGAACCAUUUUGAUCCGUGGUUUAGCCUCCCAGGUGAUUGAACAAUACCGGUGAUCUGAGGCAGACCCUCUGUGACGGAUAACAGGAAAGAAUAUUGAUUGAACAUCUACUCAAGAACUGCAAAACAGAGAUUACCUGACCUAAAGCAUUUAUAUUGCCAAUCAUGUUGGAGAGUCCAUGUGGUGAUUUCUGAAAACGAGAUGUGAGAAAGAAGAGGAUAAUUUAAGUCUAGACCUACAGAUUGUGCUGAUAAAGUGAUGAAGAACUACAAUCUUCUUAGUCAUUUCAUUGUAUAAGUGCAAUAAAGGGUAUGUAAUAAAUUUGUAUGUUCAUAUUUA